AGUAAGGCUGUGGGUUAUUGUUAAGCUGUUUAACAUUGUCUCCCCCCACACCCCUGCUUGACUAGCUUAAA
Molecule: small RNA, 71 nt
Filed under: Jaculus jaculus (lesser Egyptian jerboa)
Lineage: Eukaryota; Metazoa; Chordata; Mammalia; Rodentia; Dipodidae
Description: Y RNA (ENSJJAG00000006882.1)
Source: RNAcentral